Molecule: non-coding RNA, 425 nt
Organism: Pelobates cultripes (western spadefoot toad)
Lineage: Eukaryota; Metazoa; Chordata; Amphibia; Anura; Pelobatidae
Source: the annotation of a GenBank genome assembly
CUCUGACCAAAAUAAAUUUGGAUUAAAGAAGGGCACAGGAGGGGAGAUAAUAUUAAUCAUAGAUAAUAUUAAAAAUAAGCUCUGUGAUCAUGAUAAUAUCCAUACUGAGGAGGUUUCUCUCUGCUACAAUUCUGGAGCUAACAGAAUCCAUGCAAUUCCCGUGUUAACGUCAUGGACAUUACAAUCAAAAAACUCUUAGUAAAAAUUCAUGGAUUUCUCAUGGUGUAUCAUGCAAAGGCGCAUAUGUUUUUCGAACAUGGCAACUGCAUCUAAACAACAUGUAGCGCUCUCAGGUGUAACUCUCAUGUAAAGUCUAAUGUACAUCGGGUCAGACAGAACCAAGAAAGUAUGAUAGGAUGCAAAUUUCACCAGCCGUAGAUGGCUUACUACAAUACAGGAACCUAGCGGGUAAGAUUUACACUAAG